CACACAGCUCAGUAACACGUGGCUAACCUGCCCUUGGGAUAGGAACACCCCCGGGAAACUGGGGCUAAUUCCCAAUAGGCGAAGAACUCUGGAAUGAGUCUUCACCAGAAAGGACCCCUACACUACGCUUGUAGGCUUCGCCCAAGGAUGGGGCCGCGACCGAUCAGGUUGUUGGCGAGGUAAUGGCUCACCAAGCCUUUUACCGGUGCGGGCCGUGGGAGCGGGAGCCCGGAGAUGGGCACUGAGACAAGGGCCCAGGCCCUACGGGGCGCAGCAGUCGCGAAAACUUUGCAAUAAGCGAAAGCUUGACAGGGCUAUCCCGAGUGCCAUCCGCUGAGGAAGGCUUUUACCCAGUCUAGAACGCUGGGGGAAUAAGGAGAGGGCAAGUCUGGUGUCAGCCGCCGCGGUAAUACCAGCUCUCCGAGUGGUGUGGAUGUUUAUUGGGCCUAAAGCAUCCGUAGCUGGCUAAGUUAGUCCCUUGUUAAAUCCACCGAAUUAAUCGUUGGAUUGCGGGGGAUACUGCUUGGCUAGGGGACGAGAGAGGCAGACGGUAUUUUCGGGGUAGGGGUGAAAUCCUAUAAUCCCGGGAAGACCACCAGUGGCGAAGGCUGUCUGCUAGAACGCGCCCGACGGUGAGGGAUGAAAGCUGGGGGAGCGAACCGGAUUAGAUACCCGGGUAGUCCCAGCUGUAAACGAUGCAGACUAGGUGUUUGGACGGCCACGUGCCGUUCUAGUGCCGCAGGGAAGCUGUU
RNAcentral lists this ribosomal RNA (752 nucleotides) under uncultured crenarchaeote. RNAcentral's name for it is "bacterial SSU rRNA". It matches the Rfam family "Archaeal small subunit ribosomal RNA", at positions 82 to 816 of the family's 1478-position model. Lineage: Archaea; Thermoproteati; Thermoproteota. The record is from RNAcentral.